The sequence is a transfer RNA, 85 nucleotides long. It matches the Rfam family "tRNA". From Rfam's summary of the family: Transfer RNA (tRNA) molecules are approximately 80 nucleotides in length. Their secondary structure includes four short double-helical elements and three loops (D, anti-codon, and T loops).
GCUGGGGUAGUUCAGUGGUUAGAGUAAAGACCUAAACGCCAGACUCAUAAUCUGGAAGUCGUGGGUUCGAAUCCCACCCCCAGCA